GGCGAUCAUUGACUUUUGCUUCGAGUUGCGGCGCGCUGCCGCCUCCGCUGCUCACAUUUUGUUUUUGGUUUUACAAUUUUUCGGCUGGCCUUUAAAAUUUUUGCUCGCUGCUGUUGCUGGGCUUUUGCAUACACUACAAACGCGCGCGGUGUCGCAGAUAUGUACUAAGUAUUUACUUAUAUGUAUGUAUUGACAUUAGUUAGAAUUAUGCUUACAUGUAUUGAAAUUUACUUUGGGGAUUACAUGUUGUAGUCAGUUGGAAUUAUCGCAAGCUCAUCUUCAUAAUAUAUCGCAAUGUAUUUUUGGAGAGCAGUAUCGAAGUUAUUACAGUCGGUUAGAUUUAUCGCAAGUUCCUGCUCACAAUUUAUCAAAAUGCAUUUUGUGGAGUGCAUAUCGAAGUCGCUCCCCCAAAAGAGCAAUGCGAACUUUUGCAGCCCCGUUGACAUGUUAAUGACAUUUUUAUAAUGCGUACGAACAAACAACAACAACACCAAAGGCGGAUGCUGCAUUUCGCUUUAUUAAUGGAGCAGUACGAAGGGAUGGGAAGUAAGGGAGCAGUAAGCGUUGAGAAUUUUGCCAACAACAAAUCGCUUUUGGCAGUUCGCGCUCACUUUUUGUUGUUUUUGUUGUGUUUUUGGCAAAGGGAGCGGUCGCGGUUCACAAAAUACGUACAUAAUGCAUUACUUCCAUUGAGUUCACGAGAUUUAAACACAUUUUGAUAUACGACGCAUAUUUGUUGUUGUGAUCACUUACAUAAUUACGUUCACACAUACAAACGCGAGUAUUAAUAUAAAUUUAAAUUAAAAUAAUAUAUGCAGAUGUACACACAUACAUAUGUACAUAUGUAUGCAAAAAGGUAACGAGUACACUGAACUCGACGCAAGCGCGUGCGCUGUAACAAAUUUUUUAUUUUACUGGCAACAAUGACGCGAUCAACAGCAGCAAGGAAAGCAAAAGCUUUUUCCUUUUAUUGCGUGAGUACACACACAACCACGCACACACCAAUGAGCGUGCGCACUCUCACAAUCCAAAUUGGCGAAUGUGUAGAACCAAAACAAAAGCACAAACACGCAGCAAAUUGGCGGCGAAAGAACAGAAGUUGUAUUGCUGUCGUCGCCGCGGGCAUUUUAUAAAAUGCGCUACUACUUUCGGUGAAGAAGAAGACGAAGAAGCAGCGUCGAGGUCUGUCGUUUGCCUUGGCCCCAUUUCGCUCACCACUCUCCACUCUGCGAGCGAAAGAGAUAGCCACUGUUCUUGUUCGUGGUCAAACGAAGUGCUUAAGGAAAUGAUUCGCAUUCCUCAGCAAGAGUUUUCUUCGCUGGGUUUCGGCAACAGGUGUGGCCCCACAUACACACACACACACAUAUUUGACGUAGCCCUUGGACAUUGAACUCUACCGUGUCCGUCAUGGGAAUGACGUGUUCGACAUCCUUAUCGCACUCAAAACGCAACGUGACGUCUCUUUCUUUCCAAUUUCUACAAGCUGGACAGUGCUGUGGCGAUGACUCAUUUGGAGAGCACCCGCGUAGCUAGUCGAUUUCGAUUUCUAACCUACAUUAAGUGACGAAGCGUCGCGCGCGUGUCGUCGACGUCGACGUCGCUGCUGCUAUCGACGCUGAUUUCAAUUUCGUAUGCGCCGCUCACUUAACCAUUUACUAUCAUACGCUCUCGCUCUCUCCCUCUUGUUCUCUCACCUUUUGGACCUAGGUCUACAAAAGAGUUGAAAACGCACACAAUAAUUACGUGUAUGGGCUUUACUCUAAAUCGCAUUGACUUCUGUGGGGUAAUACAAUUAAAAAUCUCUCCAUUCUAUGAGAUUAUUAUUGUGAUACCGAGUUUGCCAUAAAAAAAAAGUCCAAUCAGGCAGGCAAACAAAGCGAAAACACUAAAUGCUCUUGCCCAAAAAUAAAACAAAAACAAAAAAAAGCACAAAGCGCAGAACAAAAAAAAAAGAA
Drosophila sulfurigaster albostrigata is the source of this 1955-nucleotide long non-coding RNA. RefSeq lists it as uncharacterized. The record is from RefSeq and is a predicted model, not a curated record. The transcript is spliced from 2 exons. NCBI's taxonomy places the organism in Eukaryota, Metazoa, Arthropoda, Insecta, Diptera, Drosophilidae.